UACGAAGGGGGCUAGCGUUGUUCGGAAUCACUGGGCGUAAAGGGCGCGUAGGCGGCUUUGUAAGUCGGGGGUGAAAGCCUGUGGCUCAACCACAGAAUUGCCUUCGAUACUGCAUGGCUUGAGACCGGAAGAGGUAAGUGGAACUGCGAGUGUAGAGGUGAAAUUCGUAGAUAUUCGCAAGAACACCAGUGGCGAAGGCGGCUUACUGGUCCGGAUCUGACGCUGAGGCGCGAAAGCGUGGGGAGCAAACAGG
This 253-nucleotide ribosomal RNA is filed under the name uncultured bacterium. RNAcentral describes it as "partial 16S ribosomal RNA". It matches the Rfam family "Bacterial small subunit ribosomal RNA", at positions 524 to 776 of the family's 1533-position model. RNAcentral also lists the same sequence under 1 other name. The record is from RNAcentral.